CCUACGGGUGGCAGCAGUGGGGAAUAUUGCACAAUGGGGGAAACCCUGAUGCAGCGACGCCGCGUGAGUGAAGAAGUAUUUCGGUUUGUAAAGCUCUAUCAGCAGGGAAGAAAAUGACGGUACCUGAUUAAGAAGCCCCGGCUAACUACGUGCCAGCAGCCGCGGUAAUACGUAGGGGGCAAGCGUUAUCCGGAUUUACUGGGUGUAAAGGGGGCGUAGACGGCAGCACAAGUCUGGAGUGAAAUGCCGGGGCUCAACCCCGGAACUGCUUUGGAAACUGUGCAGCUAGAGGGCAGGAGAGGUAAGUGGAAUUCCGAGUGUAGCGGUGAAAUGCGUAGAUAUUAGGAGGAACACCAGUGGCGAAGGCGGUUUACUGGACUGUAACUGACGUUGAGGCUCGAAAGCGUGGGGAGCAAACAGGAUUAGAUACCCGAGUAGUC
Molecule: ribosomal RNA, 440 nt
Filed under: uncultured bacterium
Lineage: Bacteria
Description: partial 16S ribosomal RNA
Rfam family: Bacterial small subunit ribosomal RNA
Source: RNAcentral